Camelina sativa (false flax) is the source of this 292-nucleotide non-coding RNA. Lineage: Eukaryota; Viridiplantae; Streptophyta; Magnoliopsida; Brassicales; Brassicaceae. The record is from RefSeq and is a predicted model, not a curated record.
UGAAAUUGUUGUUUUUAGGCGGAUUUGGUGACGGAGACAGAUAAGGAUUUGAAGAUUUCGUCUUUAAUCAUCUCAAGCAGCUUUUCCCAACCACAAGCUUAUUGGAGAAGAAACUACUUCUGCAUUCGGUGUGACAGAACAAACUUGGAUUGUUUAUCCUCUUGAUGGAACUUCUAAUUUUGUUUGCGGGUGCGACACCUCAGUUCUUGGUCUGAAACAUCGUUUCAACUUUGAAUUAACUAGAAGAUACAUUGAAGAAAUUUCAAAACCCAAUGAAAAAAGCAAAGUGAUG